Molecule: ribosomal RNA, 522 nt
Filed under: uncultured archaeon
Lineage: Archaea
Description: partial 16S ribosomal RNA
Rfam family: Archaeal small subunit ribosomal RNA
Source: RNAcentral
GGGUGCAGCAGGCGCGAAAACCUUUACAAAUGCACGCAAAGUGUGAUAAGGGGACCCNCAAGUGCUCCACAUAUAUCAUUGGGCUUUUGCCAAGNGUAAAUAGCUUGGCUAAUCAAGNGGCCGGUCAAGACCCGUUCCCAGCCGCCCGCCGUUAAACCCGGCGCCNCGAGUUGNAAANCACGUUUAUUUGGGUCUAAAAGCGUCCGUAGUCGGNUUGGUAAAUCUCUUGUGAAAAUCUNNCAGCUUNANCNGUNCAGCCUUGCCCGAGAAUACNUGUCUAUNCCUUGAGGACCCGGAAGAGGUAAGAGGUACUACAGGGGUAGCGAGUGAAAUCUAGUAUCUCAUGAGGGACCACCAGUGGCGAAGGCGUCUUACCAGAACGGAUCCGACGGUGAGGGACGAAAGCUAGGGGCGCGAACCGGAUUAGAUACCCGAGUAGUCCCAGCCGUAAACGAUGUUNGCUAGAUAUNAGGNCUCNUUACGACCACUUCNAGUGUCGUAAGAGAAAGCCNUAAACUACUC